UACAGAGGUGGCAAGCGUUGUUCGGAAUUACUGGGCGUAAAGGGCGCGUAGGCGGCGCGGUAAGUCACUUGUGAAAUCUCUGAGCUUAACUCAGAACGGCCAAGUGAUACUGCAGUGCUAGAGUGUGGAAGGGGCAAUCGGAAUUCUUGGUGUAGCGGUGAAAUGCGUAGAUAUCAAGAGGAACACCUGAGGUGAAGACGGGUUGCUGGGCCAACACUGACGCUGAGGCGCGAAAGCCAGGGGAGCAAACGGG
Molecule: ribosomal RNA, 253 nt
Filed under: uncultured bacterium
Lineage: Bacteria
Description: partial 16S ribosomal RNA
Rfam family: Bacterial small subunit ribosomal RNA
Source: RNAcentral